GUCGAAGACGGAGAACAAGAAAAUGAAGCUAUAUGUACAGGACGUAAAACUGUUAAAAACACUCGUUCAAAAGUAUCCACACAAAAGAUUUUUUGUGGUUGUAGAACCAAUUGUGCAUCAGCAAGAUGUAGUUGUAGAAAAAGUUCUCUCAAAUGUAAUGAAUUAUGCAAGUUUUGUCAUGGUGAUACAUGCAAUAACAGUAUAAAUGCAGGCGUUGAUACCAAUGAAGAUAGUGAAUAUGAGACACAUACAAAAGCUAACGAUAAAGACGAAGAAACACCUACUGAAGAAGAAAACGAAGGAAGCUCAACUGUUAGAGACAGCAGUCCACUUGAUGAAAUUUAUAUUAACUUUGAAAAAUUUUAAUAUAGUUUUUGGAAUUGCAAAAUCUAUAUUUUUUUAUUUAUUAUAUAAUUAGAGAAUCAAUUACUCUUAGGAAGUUUCUUCAAAUUUUUUUAAUUGUAAUACAAUUUUGUAAUCUAUUAAAAAAAAAAAAAAUAUUUUCAUCAGUUAAAGUUGAUUUAAUUUGAAAAUAAAAAUUUUAAAUUGU
This is a long non-coding RNA of Harmonia axyridis, 550 nucleotides long. RefSeq lists it as uncharacterized. The transcript has 2 exons. The record is from RefSeq and is a predicted model, not a curated record. Lineage: Eukaryota; Metazoa; Arthropoda; Insecta; Coleoptera; Coccinellidae.